This 253-nucleotide ribosomal RNA is filed under the name uncultured bacterium. RNAcentral's name for it is "partial 16S ribosomal RNA". It matches the Rfam family "Bacterial small subunit ribosomal RNA", at positions 524 to 776 of the family's 1533-position model. The record is from RNAcentral.
UACGGAGGCCCCGAGCGUUGUUCGGAUUUAUUGGGCGUAAAGGGAGCGUAGGCGGCGUGGUAAGUCUGGUGUGAAAGGCGUGGGCUCAACCUGCGGACUGCAUUGGAUACUGCCAUGCUAGAGGACUGGAGAGGAGAAUGGAAUUCACGGUGGAGCAGUGAAAUGCGUAGAUAUCGUGAGGAAGGCCAGUGGCGAAGGCGAUUCUCUGGACAGUACCUGACGCUGAGGCUCGAAGGCUGGGGGAGCGAACAGG